AUUGAACGCUGGCGGCAGGCUUAACACAUGCAAGUCGAGCGGGGACUUCGGUCCUAGCGGCGAACGGGUGAGGAAUGCUUGGGAAUCUGCCCAGUAGCGGGGGAUAACGCUUCGAAAGGAACGCUAAUACCGCAUACGCCCUACGGGGGAAAGGGGGGGAUCUUCGGACCUCUCACUAUUGGAUGAGCCCAAGUCGGAUUAGCUAGUUGGUGAGGUAAAGGCUCACCAAGGCGACGAUCCGUAGCUGGUCUGAGAGGACGAUCAGCCACACUGGAACUGAGACACGGUCCAGACUCCUACGGGAGGCAGCAGUGGGGAAUAUUGGACAAUGGGCGAAAGCCUGAUCCAGCCAUGCCGCGUGUGUGAAGAAGGCCUUCGGGUUGUAAAGCACUUUAAGCGAGGAGGAAUGGCUCCGGGUUAAUACCCUUGAGCAUAGACGUUACUCGCAGAAUAAGCACCGGCUAACUCUGUGCCAGCCGCCGCGGUAA
This 488-nucleotide ribosomal RNA is filed under the name uncultured bacterium. Its description in RNAcentral is "partial 16S ribosomal RNA". It matches the Rfam family "Bacterial small subunit ribosomal RNA", at positions 30 to 523 of the family's 1533-position model. The record is from RNAcentral.